RNAcentral lists this ribosomal RNA (533 nucleotides) under Baetiella japonica. RNAcentral describes it as "SSU rRNA". It matches the Rfam family "Eukaryotic small subunit ribosomal RNA", at positions 620 to 1119 of the family's 1831-position model. The record is from RNAcentral. Lineage: Eukaryota; Metazoa; Arthropoda; Insecta; Ephemeroptera; Baetidae.
UAAAAAGCUCGUAGUUGGAUCUGUGUAUCGGACGGCCGGUUCGCUGCUCGCAGCGUUCAACUGGUCGGUCCGGACGUCCUGCCGGUGGGCGUGCGCGCAAGCGUGCGUCCGUACUACCCUCCGGGCUGCUCUUAACCGGGUGGCCCGGUGGGCCGGCACGUUUACUUUGAACAAAUUUGAGUGCUCAAAGCAGGCCUUUGGUCGCCUGAAAACUGUGUGCAUGGAAUAAUGGAAUAGGGCCUCGGUUCUAUUUUGUUGGCUUUUCUGAACUUGAGGUAAUGAUUAAUAGGGACAGACGGGGGCAUUCGUAUUGCGACGUUAGAGGUGAAAUUCUUGGAUCGUCGCAAGACGAACGGAUGCGAAAGCGUUUGCCAAGAAUGUUUUCGCUAAUCAAGAACGAAAGUUAGAGGUUCGAAGGCGAUCAGAUACCGCCCUAGUUCUAACCAUAAACGAUGCCAGCCAGCGAUGCGCCGAAGUUCCUCCGAUGACUCGGCGCGCAGCUUCCGGGAAACCAAAGCUUUUGGGUUCCGGGG